Molecule: long non-coding RNA, 2236 nt
Organism: Rosa rugosa (rugosa rose)
Lineage: Eukaryota; Viridiplantae; Streptophyta; Magnoliopsida; Rosales; Rosaceae
Exons: 2
Source: RefSeq, a predicted model, not a curated record
GGAGCAUUUUAAUGUGGUAUUUUAAUAGUUAAUUCCUCACAUUUUGCUUAGUUAAUUCCUUAACGAAUCGAUUUUUAACUCAAUUUCUAUUUUCUUAGGUACAUUGGAGUAAAUGAUGGUGAAAUAAGCAUUAGGUCCACACUUACCUAUAAAUGGUGGAGAAAAAUGGAAAUGUACUAAAAUGUCAAUUUUACACAUUUUCCUACUCCGGCUAGGAGAAACCAAGCCAAGCAAGGAAGAAGGAGCGGCCGCCGGACCAAAUGAACUUCAAAUGAGCUGAAACUUUCCAGAUCCAUUCUAGACAGCCCAAGGAUCAUUUCUUAUGAAGAGUGCAAGAACUUUUGUUGAGUGGAAGGCCUUCAAACAAUCAACCCAAUUUUCUACAGAAGCAAAACUGGAAAACUGGACCUGUAAGAGGUCCAGCAGCAUUUUCGGCCCAACCACAUGGAAUAAAAAUCUGAAAUUUUACCAGGGUGAUCUACACUCAUAAUGGAACAUUUUUUAUGAAGAGGUCAUAGUGAAAUUGGGAAUGCUUGUUGGAGAAAUAAUUGAAGGAAUAAAGGGGCAGAAACUGAUCUAAAAAACAGCUCAACAUCACAUGUUCAUGUUUCCUACCCACAUGAAGAAAGCUAGAUGCUUUUCUCUUUUUCCUUGGAUAUAUUUUUCUGCUCCAAUAGAUCAUCAUCACUUCCAUACUUCUACACCUUCAUGCCUUGCUUUCAUUUCAUCAUUACUCCAUCUUUUCCAUAUUUUACAAACCACUUUCAUUAUUUUUCUUCCAUUUAUCAUUUCACUCUUCUUUUUCUUCCCUAUAUAAACACCUUCUCCUCUCACUCUAAACACAUUCCUUCAUCCAUUUCAUCUUCUUUGUCUCUCCAUUUCCAUUCCAUUUUUCUCUCCAUUCUCUAGUUGCAAAAUUCUGCGUUUUCAAGUAAGAAGAAGAAGAAGAAGAAGGAGCCGGGAAUAUCAUAUCCUCCAUCGUCCACCUUGAAGGCUUGCUUCCAAGAUUCAAGAUUUCAACGUUUCAAGCACUCCAUCUCCAUCUCCAACUCACGGUGUGUACCCUCAAUCCCCGGAAUAGAACGAUCCCUAUUUGCUUAUACUACUAACGAUGUUUUCAGGGUUAAAUUAUGCGCUUGCUUUGAGCGUAUCAAUUUUUGGCGCCGUUGCCGGGGAUUGAAAAAUCACUUGUUUUUGUUUAUAAUUGUUGUAUAUAAACUGUUUGAUACUUAGUUUAAAUUAACUAGGUUGUUUUUUUUUAUUGUUGAAUACGAGUUUAAUUGUGAGUUGUAAAUAAAAGAAGGAAUAGGUGAAGUCGUGUUUAUUAAUAUUGGCCUAAACCCCUUAUUGGUACCUAGUUCAGGUCCCUUAAGGUUGAGGGCGGCCUUUAUUAACAUUCAUUGAACUGUCUAACACACUUAGGACCUUUUACAUCCUAGUAAGAAUAUCCUAUGUGAGAUGGUGUCUAGGAAGGGGAUAACGUUCAUGACGGGUUUUUGAAUCCAGAAGUGCUUAUAAAUGGGCUUAGCUCAUGCCAAAAUGGAUUUUUCCUCUCGUGUUCACCCUCCCCUACCUGGCCAUUUCAGUAAGGUUGCCCAACGGAUGUAGGAGGGACUUUGUGUCUAGACGACUAUACUUGGGCCGCACGUCCACUUGAUUUACCGCUUGGAAUUAGAUUUGAUAUCAAUAAUGUUUAUAACAAAAGAAAUACUUGUACAUACUCUUUACGUGUAAAUUAUUUUGUUGUUUCACACUUUAUACUUGUAAAAAUACUUUUUACGUUUUAUACUCACUUGUGUACUUAACUUGUGUCUUAUGUACAAAAUACUUGUAAAUUAUACUUGUAGUUUGUAAUUCAUAGUUACUUGUUUAUUUUUUUUUGUAUUUCUUUGUUAAUAUUAAGUUACUAACUUUAUUUAAUGUAGGUACCGUCUGGCUGCAAGACGUAAAAUACAAGCGCUGCUUGGGAGGCAACCCAAUUCAGAAUAUAAUCAGAUUUGCUUUCUCUUCCCCUUUUACUCCUCCAUUUUCUUUUUGUUUUAGUAGUUAUUUUCGUAAAUUCCAUCCCUAUAUGCUUACUUAUUUCAUUGCAUGCUUUUAAUUGAUUACAUUGAGGAUAAUGCAAUAUUUAAGUGUGGGGGAAGGGAUUUAUAUUUUUGUCUUUCAUUUUGAAUCCUAUAAAUAUUUUUGUCUUUCAUUUUGUGUCCUAUAAAUAUUUUUGAGUCCUAUAUUUUUU